This 380-nucleotide unclassified non-coding RNA is filed under the name soil metagenome. RNAcentral's name for it is "partial contains 5.8S ribosomal RNA, internal transcribed spacer 2, and large subunit ribosomal RNA". The stretch from base 1 to 120 matches the Rfam family "5.8S ribosomal RNA", at positions 35 to 154 of the family's 154-position model. The record is from RNAcentral.
GAUGAAGAACGUAGCGAAAUGCGAUACGUAAUGUGAAUUGCAGAAUUCCGUGAAUCAUCGAAUCUUUGAACGCACCUUGCACCCUUUGGCAUUCUGAAGGGUAUGCUCGUUUGAGUGUCAUUGUACUCUCACACUCCCGAUCUUUGCAUUGGGAGCAGUGGACUUGGGUUUGCUGCUUCACCGUCGCUUACCUCAAAUAGGUUAGUGCAACUCUUGGUUGGACAUAGUACGGCGUGAUAAGUGUUCUUCGCCGGUGCCUCGCAAAGAGGGUGGCCGAUCGAGAUGUUGUGCUCCAAACCGUCUUCGGACAAUCUCUGACGACUUGACCUCAAAUCGAGUAAGACUACCCGCUGAACUUAAGCAUAUCAAUAAGCGGAGGA